Molecule: unclassified non-coding RNA, 238 nt
Filed under: Hevea brasiliensis (rubber tree)
Lineage: Eukaryota; Viridiplantae; Streptophyta; Magnoliopsida; Malpighiales; Euphorbiaceae
Source: RNAcentral
AAUUGCAUCGUAUGUUGAAUGAGGUUUGUAGAAUUAAUUGAAUCUAAUUUUUUUUUCCCAUUUGAUGGAAAUGGAUUUUGCAAACUGAUCUGCACAAAGGUAUUUUCCCAGAGGCAAAUUCUCAGUUUUUAGUAGCAAAUUCAUCAAUGGUUUUGUUUGUGCUUAAAUAUGUUUCUUUAACAAUGGGCAUUUAAUAAUGUUCUAUUUUGUAUGUAGGAUGAGUUGAGAGAUGCUGUGU